RNAcentral lists this ribosomal RNA (428 nucleotides) under uncultured bacterium. RNAcentral describes it as "partial 16S ribosomal RNA". It matches the Rfam family "Bacterial small subunit ribosomal RNA", at positions 354 to 796 of the family's 1533-position model. The record is from RNAcentral.
GUCGAGAAUCUUCCGCAAUGCGCGAAAGCGUGACGGAGCGACACCGCGUGAUGGAUGAAGUCCUUCGGGGCGUAAACAUCUUUUAUAAAGGAGGAAAUUUUUGACGUUACUUUAUGAAUAAGGGGCUCCCAAUCUCGUGCCAGCAGGAGCGGUAAUACGAGAGCCUCAAGCGUUAUCCGGAAUCAUUGGGCGUAAAGGGUGCGUAGGUGGUUUGAUUAGUCUCCCGUUAAAACUUCGAGCUUAACUCGAAAAGAGCGGGGGAAACGGUCAAACUAGAGUAUGUGAGAGGUGUGUGGAACUCAUGGUGUAGGGGUGAAAUCCGUUGAUAUCAUGUGGAACACCAAAAGCGAAGGCAGCACACUGGCACAUCACUGACACUGAGGCACGAAACCUAAGGUAGCGAAUGGGAUUAGAUACCCGAGUAGUCC